CAAAAACCACACUAAAAAGUUAAUAUAUAAAGAAACUAAUAGAACAAAAAAGCUUGAAGUAUGGGGCGGGGAUAUGGAAGACCAAAAGAAAAUGUUAAAAACAAGAAAUAUUUGAAAGGAAACACCUUUAUCAGGAGAAAUUAAAUAUUACACUCCCAUUUUUCCUCUUUCUAAUAAUGGUAUGGAUCAACAAAUGAAGUUUGAAAUUUUUUUGUUUUUUUUGGUACCGGGGAUCGAACUUGGGACCUUGCGCUUACGAGGCAGGUGGUGGAACCGUUGAGCUAAAUCCCCAGGCCAUGAAGUUUGAACUUUUUAAGAUGACUAAAUAUAUUUUGUUUUUUAAGUGCACAACUGAUCUUUCUAUACUGUAAUUUUCUUUGAUGUGGCUGGAAAAUGGCCAGACUGCUAACUUUGUGCCUUUAAAAUGCAUUCUGCUUUGACAGUGGCAGACUUUUUGGUGCUGGAGAAGAUUUACUAGCAGUCAUUUAUGUGCUUUUCAGGAAGUAUCUUUCUACUUAGGCCUUGAGAGAUUCAAAGUAGCAUGACUUAGGCUUGGACCAAAUAUAAGAUCUUUUACAUUGUGAAGUAUAUUGAAUAAAAGGAUUGAAAAAUAUCGUAGUGGAAAUUUUGAUCGAUUUGUAAUUCUUUAACAUAUGUUUAAAGGUAUACAGACUUUUUAAAAAUCCUGAAAUUUUUUAGUACUUUUCCUUGUAUACAAAACAUUUUCUAAUUUAAAAAAUCACUAGGACUAUUGCCUUAGAAAGUAUUAAAAGGUACAGUUACCCUUACAUGAUGUGUAUGAGAUUUAAUAUUGAUGCUGAAAGAAAUGAAAACUCUGAUUCCAGAAUAAAUUGAAUUGGCUUUCAUUUGAGAGUCUUUACCUGAUUCCCAAUAGAAACUACUUAAAAAGGUUGAAAAUACUUCUUUAGAAUAGCUUUCUGCUACUACAUACAGCUCUGACACAAGUUGGGUCAGAUCUGUAGUAUUUCUGAGAGGGAGCUUACAAGACAUGUGAAAUCACUAAGAAAAUAAAAUCAAAUCUGAAUAUUUUAGCAGUAUGACUAAGCCAAGUGAAGACUCUUUGGCCAACAGUAGAGUUCUAUGCCAAUAAUUUCAUGUGGGGUCUAGGAACCAGUAGCUUGAUAUAAAAUCACCUGGUAUCAAUUCUGUCUAUGAAUCUUUCCAUCUCUUUAAAAUAGGGUGAGUCUUUUCUUCAUUUGCUUUCUAGUAAUUGUGACUUGCUAUAAGUAGGAAAUUAACAUCCUUGAAGUCACAGUCUAAGGGGAAUAUGGACGAACAGAGUUACUUUAUAGCAGACACUAAAUCUGAAAGUUCAGCAAUGCUGUUAUGAUUUUUUUUUGUAAAGUAAGGGGAGAGCAAGUUUGGGUAAACAUUGGCUGUUAUAAACCAAAAUGUCAUUAAUAGGAAUUAUAGUAAAAAUAUCCCCAAAUUUAGGGAGACCUCCAAGGUCAGACAGCUUAUCUCUCUCUCAGGACCCCUCUUACUACAAACAGCCUCUACUCAAAGAGUCCCAGGGAUAGCAAGCAUUUAUUCCAUAAUACCGCCCCCCUCCCCCCAGCAGUCUUGUAAAGAAAAAAAAUUUUUCUUUUGGUCUAAAUUGUGAAAAAAUUCAAAAACAUUUGGUAGAAAUUAAACUCUGUCAACAGUGUUUAUGCUAAGAAUAGGACAGUUUCUUAAGACCAUAUUAUUUUAAGUUUGGUGGUUGCUUUAAAUAUUUAUUUGAAUUUAAGAUUGGUUAAAUGGUAACAUAAAGCAAUUUAAUUGUUGGUUUUUAUUAGUGCCUUUUUUCUCUGUAUGCCUUUUAUUUUAUAUUACUAAUUCAGAUUACCCACCAAAAUGAGGAUUUUUUUUUUUUCCCCAAAUCAGUAGGCUUCAAGAGUUUAGACUGUGUAUUGGCCUUCAAAUGUUUCUUAAUGCCUACUUCCUCCUCCUGCCCUUUUCUUUUACCUCUUUUUUGUUUUUUUUUUUUAAUGUUAGGAAAGAAACAUUAGUGUUUGUCUGAGAUACUGCAAUCUCCGCUAGUCUUAAAUAAGCAUAGAGUUAUUCAAAGUAGUAAAUUGUUUUCUAGGUUGAUUACUUGAUUUUCAAUCACAUUGGCAUCCUCCAGGUUCUUUGUAUGUCAUGGUUCAGUUACAAUUUUCAUAGCAGAGCUAGAGUAGUUGUUUUUGCCUAAAGAGGUUGUUUAAAACGGUUUACCAGUGCUAAGCCAGUGAAUGAGAUGUGAGGCAAUGAGCAAAAAAUACAGAGACAGUAAAUUCUAAUCCUUAGGGUUUAACAUUUUGACAUAUACUCUAGCUUACUUUUCUGUGAAGUGUGUGUGUGUGUGUGUGUGUGUGUGUGUGUGUGUGUGGUGUUUGGAGUUGGGUGAGAGGAAAGGGAAUGAAGCAAGGAGAGGGAGGGAGGAAGAAAGGAAGAAGUAUGAAUGUUCAGUUAGAUCAGUCUCUGUUCUGAGAGGAGCAACACAAAAAUGUAUGACCUACUGACCAUGAAUGAAAAUAAUCAUCCUCCAGUAGGAAUGCCAGUACAUUUUUCCCAAGUAGCUAGUAUAAAUGAUUUUUAAUAGAGGUAUUUAUUGUAAAUUUCCAAGCUCUUUGUUGCUAAAAGUAGACUAAAAUUUAGUUUGUGUAUGUGUAUAAUAAUGAGCUUAUAUAUAAUUCUUCAAUAGAAAGUAAUUGAUGUCACAUAGUUCUUUAUGAACUCUUUGGAAUAGAAGUUCUGCCAGACAUUAUCUAAACAAGCUUUCUUAGCUUACCGAGUAUCCUAAAGGAAAUUCUCUUAUACCUCUUUUUGGUUGGCUAGGGAAAUGUGUGCUGUGAAAUCACUGUUCCUACUUCAUUGCUUUGACUUCUUCCAUGGCCUGAAUAGGAUGCCAUAAUAGGUGUGGGAAAUAUCAGGGCCACCCAUCUCUCUCUCUUUUCACUAUUGGGAGGUGUAGAUUCUAAUAAGCUCUCAGGGGAGCCUAGGGAUUCUUUAUACUUGGUUGAAAUGACAAUGGUCAGGGUUGACUUUCAUGGAGGUGAGGGAGGAGUCAUAGCUAUAGUAAAGAAUAAAUUGUACCUGUUGCCUGUAUACAGUGUCAUAUAAUUCUUCAUGUUUUUCGUAAUUGUGCAUUUUAAUCCACAGUCAUAUGGUAUUUUUGUUAGUAACAAAGGCUGUCAGUGAAUACUGUUAUCCUCUCUGCUUGAUGACUUAUUUGUAUCACAAUCUGUAUUAUCAGAAUCACUGUAAACCAAAGCUUUUAUAUUUCCUGCACACAUAGCCAAAAUGAUUAGUCCUGUUACAUCUGCCCACUUGUAAGCUAAUAGCAUAAAAAUGGUAAAGCAGGUACUAGUAGAAUGUGAUCCCAGUCUAUCCUUUGAGGAAAGGGACAGGUGCUCAGUGUUUGCAUUUAGACAUGCAGAAUUUACUUCACUUAUAAAGGAACUAUAUAGAUACUACAUACCUAAUUAACUUGUACUUGUGCCAAUCUUAUUGUCACUUGACCAUAGAUGCAUGUAGAUGUGUUAAUGUCUGAUGCUCAGGUUGGUGGCAUAUUUUCUCCCUAGUGUCUUAACAUGUAUGAGCUUGUGUUUGACUUGAGAGGCAUUUCACCAAAGCUGUGAAGAAAAGGAGGUUAUGGACUGACAUCUGCUUUGUGCUACAGACACUUUGGAACACAGGAAAGCACCUAUUUUUAGCAUAUGUGCAGAAUUUGUCCCCAAAUAAGGAUUUCUAAAUCUCUUAAUGCCAGUUGAGAAGAGUAAAGUUUAUGACUAUCCUGAAAAGCACUUUUCUGUUCAAUUAUUUAUAUUUUUUAGAACUUCUUUUUAAAAACCAUAUGUAACUAGUGAUGAGUUUAGCAUUAACAUUACUUGGAUGGGAGAGAUGAGUAACAAAACUGCGUCUUAAACUCUAUCAGAUAUUUAGAAUCCAGAAUGGAUUUGACAUAUUCUCAUUUUUCCAAAGAAUUUUUUCCACCUGGAAAUAAGAGAGGACUAGGGGAAGCAUUUGUAAAAAAAUGGGUAAAAGAGGAUCAGCCCCUUGCAAUACACAAUUUUCAAUUAAUAGUACAGUGUCUAGGUACAAGAAUACUUCUUUAAACACAAACUAUUAUUUUAAUACAAUCUUAGUAAAAGGUUUACAUAUUUUCUAUUGCUGUUGGUUUUUAAAUUUGCUAUCCUGCAUUCUGAAAUAUUAUAAAAGUUAAUAUGAAAAAUACUUUUAAUGUCUACCAUCUCUUACAUUUCACACAGUUCUUUUUAUUUAUUGUAAAUAAAAGUAAAUGGAUAAAUUUGAAAAUAAACUUUUAAUUAUUGCAAACUAUGAUUAUCAAUUUGUAAACUUACCUUUGACUUAAUGUACAUUUUUAAAUGUAGCCACUAAAUUCUCUAUAUUUAACCUAUUGGUUUCUCUCAGUAAACGUUUUUAAUCUCAUUUGAGUGCUGGGCAAUUUAUAAUUAUCUACAAAGGUUUUUUUGUUUCCUAACAAGUUUGACUUUUUUGCACAUUUUUGAUAAUGUUUAAUUUGUACACUGAUAUAUUACUCUGACCAAUAAUUGUUGAGUGUAUGAGUAUCAUGAAUGCGUGCAUCAAACUACUGUCUGUGUCUCUUGUUUUAACUUCUUUCAAGAUGUACAUCUUUCAAGAUGUAGCUAUCAGUUAAUAACUGCUAUGACUGACUUAAGUGGACCUUCUUGCUUUUACCAAGCAUACUUAUCUAUGGUUCUAUCUUUGUUGAAGAACUCAGGAGUUCAACAUUACUUUCCAAUUUUAUAAUAUAGUCUAAAAUCCAUUACUAAGCUGAAAGUAUGCUUUGUAACUCUAUGUAUCAGGGGAUGUGUGUUUGUGUGAAGAUGUCUUUUUCUGUUUGUAGGCACAUGAAUAUAUCCCAGUAAAUUCUUAUUUUCAUUUUAUUUCUACAUUUUUAUGAACUUGUUUUAUAAGGGUAUUAUUUAGUUAGGAUAAAUAUAUAUAAAAGCUUUCUGAGAGAUUACUAUAUGAAUAUAUUUUCAGCUGGCUGAUCAAAAAUAUUUUUUUAAUUUUGUUUUUAAUCAUUUAAGAUGUAUUUGUAUUUCCAGAAUUGGACACAAGUUGUACUUAGAACUCAGUUAAAAUACUCCUGAAAGGAAAAUCAUGGAAUUCUCUUUUGACAAUUCUGUGAAAUGCAAAUUAGAAAAAAAGGCUUUAAGAAAUAGCAAAAACACACUGUUCACUAACAUGGACCUUUGAAUUGUCAGAGCUGUGGAAAAAAAGUGAGAAACUAAAUUGUUUUAAUUCAAGAUUUUUGUAUUUCCAGUUGCUAUAGGCUUGUCCUACUGUUGUUUUUAAAUUUGCCUUUAUUUUCCCAAAAGAUUUCAGCUUUUUUUAGUUUUUCCUUACUGAGCAAGGUCAGACUGGGCUUAUAAAACAAUACAUUGGCAUAUAUGAUGCUUUGUAAUUGACUAUAAAUUGGUUUAGAAAUGUCCACACCCCAUUGUUGUGUUGGUUAUACUGUACUGUGUGUUUUUAGGAACUGGCAGAAAAAGAAUUGGAAAUUAGGUUUCCAAUCUGACAGUGUUACUGUAUUUAAAGAAAACCUUGUUUUUAAUUUCAGGUACCACGUAAAAUUACUUGUGUUAGGAAUAAAGUCCACUGUUGAAGUUGAAUGUCAUUUGUUAAAAGGAACCAGUGUGUUUAGAACCUAUCAGAAGCCAGAUAUAGUGUGGUAUGUGCCACAUUUCAUGCACAUUUGAGUUUGUGCUAUUCAUUUAAAAUAUGCUUGUAAAAAUGUAUAAAAUUCCUGAAUUUUAUUUCUAUGUACUUUUUUUUGCUGUUAAAUAGCUUUUUAAAAAAUUAAUAUAAAAAGAAACCAUGUUUAUAUUUUGUUAGUGAUCAAUGAUUUUGUUUAUAUGGAAAUUUGUAUAUUGUUGGCACUCAUCUUUUGUUUAGAUUUAUCAUGCAUGAAGGCUUGCAAUAAUUAGCACAAUGAAAAUUGCUUUUUCUUAUAUGUUCAUUUUUUUGUUUUUUUGAAAGAUUGUGGUGCAAAGGCUUACUUUAAGUAACCUUCUGGACUAUGGAACGAAUAUAAGUGAAUGGCACUUUGAGUGUUAAUAAAGC
Heterocephalus glaber (naked mole-rat) is the source of this 6096-nucleotide long non-coding RNA. NCBI's taxonomy places the organism in Eukaryota, Metazoa, Chordata, Mammalia, Rodentia, Bathyergidae. The record is from Ensembl.